This is a ribosomal RNA of Myotis lucifugus (little brown bat), 111 nucleotides long. Lineage: Eukaryota; Metazoa; Chordata; Mammalia; Chiroptera; Vespertilionidae. The record is from Ensembl.
CUCUAUGUCCCUACCCCUCUGAACACACCCGAUCUCAUCUGAUCUUGAAAGGUAAGCAGGUUUGGGCCUGGUUAGUACUUGGAUGGGUAGGAAUACAGGAUGCUGUAGGCU